UACGAAGGGGACUAGCGUUGUUCGGAAUUACUGGGCGUAAAGCGCACGUAGGCGGAUUUGUUAGUCAGGGGUGAAAUCCCGGGGCUCAACCUCGGAACUGCCUUUGAUACUGCAAAUCUCGAGUCCGAUAGAGGUGGGUGGAAUUCCUAGUGUAGAGGUGAAAUUCGUAGAUAUUAGGAAGAACACCGGUGGCGAAGGCGGCCCACUGGAUCGGUACUGAUGCUGAGGUGCGAAAGCGUGGGGAGCAAACAGG
This 253-nucleotide ribosomal RNA is filed under the name uncultured bacterium. Its description in RNAcentral is "partial 16S ribosomal RNA". It matches the Rfam family "Bacterial small subunit ribosomal RNA", at positions 524 to 776 of the family's 1533-position model. The record is from RNAcentral.